CGGACGGGUGAGUAAUGUCUGGGAAACUGCCUGAUGGAGGGGGAUAACUACUGGAACGGUAGCUAAUACCGCAUAACGUCGCAAGACCAAAGAGGGGGACCUUAGGGCCUCUUGCCAUCGGAUGUGCCCAGAUGGGAUUAGCUAGUAGGUGGGGUAAUGGCUCACCUAGGCGACGAUCCCUAGCUGGUCUGAGAGGAUGACCAGCCACACUGGAACUGAGACACGGUCCAG
Molecule: ribosomal RNA, 231 nt
Filed under: uncultured bacterium
Lineage: Bacteria
Description: partial 16S ribosomal RNA
Rfam family: Bacterial small subunit ribosomal RNA
Source: RNAcentral